GUGGGGAAUUUUGGACAAUGGGGGAAACCCUGAUCCAGCAAUGCCGCGUGAGUGAAGAAGGCCUUAGGGUUGUAAAACUCUUUCACCUGUGAAGAUGAUGACUGUAACAGGAGAAGAAGCUCCGGCUAACUCCGUGCCAGCAGCCGCGGUAAUACGGAGGGGGCUAGCGUUGCUCGGAAUUACUGGGCGUAAAGCGCGCGUAGGCGGUGAAUCUAGUCAGGCGUGAAAGCCCUGGGCUUAACCCAGGAACUGCGUUUGAUACUGAUUUACUAGAAUUCGAGAGAGGGUAGCGGAAUUUCCAGUGUAGAGGUGAAAUUCGUAGAUAUUGGAAAGAACACCAGUGGCGAAGGCGGCUACCUGGCUCGAUAUUGACGCUGAGGUGCGAAAGCGUGGGGAGCAAACAGGAUUAGAUACCCCAGUAGUCC
Molecule: ribosomal RNA, 425 nt
Filed under: uncultured bacterium
Lineage: Bacteria
Description: bacterial SSU rRNA
Rfam family: Bacterial small subunit ribosomal RNA
Source: RNAcentral